This 330-nucleotide ribosomal RNA is filed under the name Triticum aestivum (bread wheat). RNAcentral's name for it is "partial small subunit ribosomal RNA". Lineage: Eukaryota; Viridiplantae; Streptophyta; Magnoliopsida; Poales; Poaceae. The record is from RNAcentral.
AUGGAUAACAGCAACUGCCCCAUAUUGAGUUGGAACGUCAGAGGCUUAAACACCUCGGCUCGUUGCUUUGUAGUUUGUGACGUCGCGAGCAUGCAUAGCCUAGCCAUUCUAUGCCUUUAGGAGACCAAGAUCGAGAGUUGGUCGCCAGCGAUAGCUAGAGAAAUUGGAGGGAGUAGGCUAGAUGAUUGUGCCGUGCUGCCUGCCAUGGGAACGCGAGGAGGAUUUGCCAUCUUCUGGAACUCCGGCACCGUCUCUGUUCAAAAGCACGCGAUAGGCCAGUUUUCCAUCACGGCUAAAGUUAGUCGAAUAGGAUCCCAGGAUUCCUUCUAG